AGCGAACGCUGGCGGCAGGCUUAACACAUGCAAGUCGAACGAUCCUUCGGGAUAGUGGCGGACGGGUGAGUAACACGUGGGAACGUGCCCUUAGGUUCGGAACAACACAGGGAAACUUGUGCUAAUACCGGAUAAGCCCUUACGGGGAAAGAUUUAUCGCCUUUGGAGCGGCCCGCGUCUGAUUAGCUUGUUGGUGAGGUAAAGGCUCACCAAGGCUACGAUCAGUAGCUGGUCUGAGAGGAUGACCAGCCACACUGGGACUGAGACACGGCCCAGACUCCUACGGGAGGCAGCAGUGGGGAAUCUUGCGCAAUGGGGG
RNAcentral lists this ribosomal RNA (319 nucleotides) under uncultured bacterium. Its description in RNAcentral is "bacterial SSU rRNA". It matches the Rfam family "Bacterial small subunit ribosomal RNA", at positions 29 to 377 of the family's 1533-position model. The record is from RNAcentral.